RNAcentral lists this transfer RNA (76 nucleotides) under Actinomycetota bacterium. Its description in RNAcentral is "tRNA-Asn". It matches the Rfam family "tRNA". From Rfam's summary of the family: Transfer RNA (tRNA) molecules are approximately 80 nucleotides in length. The record is from RNAcentral. Lineage: Bacteria; Bacillati; Actinomycetota.
UCCGGGGUAGCUCAAUUGGCAGAGCGCCGGCCUGUUAAGCCGUUUGUUGCGGGUUCAAGUCCCGCCCCCGGAGCCA